UUGGGCGUAAGGGCUCGCAGGCGGUUGUCUUAAGUCUGAUGUGAAAGCCCCCGGCUCAACCGGGGAGGGUCAUUGGAAACUGGGGAACUUGAGUGCAGAAGAGGAGAGUGGAAUUCCACGUGUAGCGGUGAAAUGCGUAGAGAUGUGGAGGAACACCAGUGGCGAAGGCGACUCUCUGGUCUGUAACUGACGCUGAGGAGCGAAAGCGUGGGGAGCGAACAGGAUUAGAUACCCUGGUAGUCCACGCCGUAAACGAUGAGUGCUAAGUGUUAGGGGGUUUCCGCCCCUUAGUGCUGCAGCUAACGCAUUAAGCACUCCGCCUGGGGAGUACGGUCGCAAGACUGAAACUCAAAGGAAUUGACGGGGGCCCGCACAAGCGGUGGAGCAUGUGGUUUAAUUCGAAGCAACGCGAAGAACCUUACCAGGUCUUGACAUCCUCUGACAAUCCUAGAGAUAGGACGUCCCCUUCGGGGGCAGAGUGACAGGUGGUGCAUGGUUGUCGUCAGCUCGUGUCGUGAGAUGUUGGGUUAAGUCCCGCAACGAGCGCAACCCUUGAUCUUAGUUGCCAGCAUUCAGUUGGGCACUCUAAGGUGACUGCCGGUGACAAACCGGAGGAAGGUGGGGAUGAC
RNAcentral lists this ribosomal RNA (629 nucleotides) under Bacillus sp. (in: firmicutes). RNAcentral describes it as "bacterial SSU rRNA". It matches the Rfam family "Bacterial small subunit ribosomal RNA", at positions 554 to 1183 of the family's 1533-position model. The record is from RNAcentral. Lineage: Bacteria; Bacillati; Bacillota; Bacilli; Caryophanales; Bacillaceae.